GUUUGGCGCCCGAUUUUAUUGCAGUAGAGAAGUGUUCAAGUGACUUUGAUGAUCAACAGCGAAUUUCUGGUGAUUCUGUUAAUGAGCAAGCUUGUUCUCCAGUUUCUUUGCCAAAGGAGGAUGGGCAAGUGUUUGCGGGUGGGUUGUCUCUGGUGUCUAUAGGAAGGAGUCAGCAAGUUAAUGCCAGCCAGAUGAAGCAGGAGGACCAAAUCAUGGAAAAUGAUGAUGACUUAUAUGAUUCUUCCAAACAAUUGACUAUUGAUAAUGCUGCUACCUCAUUGCGCAAAUGCAGUUUGGUUUUCCAUCAGAGUGAACUGGCUGAUGAGAAUUGUGAAGGUG
Molecule: unclassified non-coding RNA, 339 nt
Filed under: Hevea brasiliensis (rubber tree)
Lineage: Eukaryota; Viridiplantae; Streptophyta; Magnoliopsida; Malpighiales; Euphorbiaceae
Source: RNAcentral